GGCAUAUCAAUAAGCGGAGGAAAAGAAACCAACCGGGAUUGCCUCAGUAACGGCGAGUGAAGCGGCAAGAGCUCAAAUUUGAAAUCUGGCCCCCUCGGGGUCCGAGUUGUAAUUUGCAGAGGAUGCUUCGGGUGCGGCCCCCGUCUAAGUGCCCUGGAACGGGCCGUCAUAGAGGGUGAGAAUCCCGUCUGGGACGGGGUGUCCGCGUCCGUGUGAAGCUCCUUCGACGAGUCGAGUUGUUUGGGAAUGCAGCUCUAAAUGGGUGGUAAAUUUCAUCUAAAGCUAAAUACUGGCCGGAGACCGAUAGCGCACAAGUAGAGUGAUCGAAAGAUGAAAAGCACUUUGAAAAGAGAGUUAAAAAGCACGUGAAAUUGUUGAAAGGGAAGCGCUUGCGACCAGACUCGCCCGCGGGGUUCAGCCGGCAUUCGUGCCGGUGUACUUCCCCGCGGGCGGGCCAGCGUCGGUUUGGGCGGCCGGUCAAAGGCCCCCGGAAUGUAGCACCCUUCGGGGUGCCUUAUAGCCGGGGGUGCAAUGCGGCCAGCCUGGACCGAGGAACGCGCUUCGGCACGGACGCUGGCAUAAUGGUCGUAAACGACCCGUCUUGAAACACGGACCAAGGAGUCUAACAUCUACGCGAGUGUUCGGGUGUCAAACCCGUGCGCGCAGUGAAAGCGAACGGAGGUGGGAGCCCCCCCGCGGGGCGCACCAUCGACCGAUCCUGAUGUCUUCGGAUGGAUUUGAGUAAGAGCGUAAAUGUGGGGACCCGAAAGAUGGUGAACUAUGCCUGAAUAGGGCGAAGCCAGAGGAAACUCUGGUGGAGGCUCGCAGCGGUUCUGACGUGCAAAUCGAUCGUCAAAUUUGGGUAUAGGGGCGAAAGACUAAUCGAACCAUCUGGUAGCUUGGUU
RNAcentral lists this ribosomal RNA (905 nucleotides) under Aspergillus ochraceus. RNAcentral describes it as "LSU rRNA". It matches the Rfam family "Eukaryotic large subunit ribosomal RNA", at positions 37 to 956 of the family's 3401-position model. Lineage: Eukaryota; Fungi; Ascomycota; Eurotiomycetes; Eurotiales; Aspergillaceae. The record is from RNAcentral.